Non-coding RNA from Misgurnus anguillicaudatus (oriental weatherfish), 1104 nucleotides. NCBI's taxonomy places the organism in Eukaryota, Metazoa, Chordata, Actinopteri, Cypriniformes, Cobitidae. The record is from RefSeq and is a predicted model, not a curated record.
CUUCAACUGACACAACGGUCUCGAUGGUAGGAACAAGCAAAAGCUCCUUUAAAUUUCGUCAUUUUUUAUACACAUCCUGUUUAUUUUGUAGUUAAUUGUUAGAUAAGUUAGUAAUUUCGUCAAGUUUUCGUUACAAGGGGUUUCUGUUCCUGCAGUCUUUCAGCGGUGCUGGCGCGUAUGACGAUGCGGACAUGAACAGCACACUACAGUAUACCGCCACCUACUGUACUGUAGUACAAUAACGUCCUUUAAACAUCUAAACAUGUCCUCCAAAAAGGUUUCCUGUGCUGUUUUGCUCCAUUUUACUGAACAAAAUAAGGCUGAGGUAGCACCAUCCUUGUGGUUAGAGUGAAAGAACGUGUGUAUUGAGACCAAAAUAAACAAUGUGCCAUUCUGGACAAACAGCUGUGGACAAUAUAUGCAGUCAGAGUAGCCUAUUUUCUCACACAGACCUGAAGAUAAGAUUUCCAGUUUAAAAGUGAAGAAAAUGAAUCAUUAUUAACAGCAAUUAGGAGUAUUUCUCAGCUGAAAAGCCAGAUUUUUUCCUUGUAUUUUUUUUGUUAAAUGAGGAGCAACCAGUAAGAAAAAACAAAAAGAUAUUUUGAUGUUUGCUUGAGGCACCUUAUUUUUAUGCACAAUCACAAAUGCAGCACAUCAAUCAAUUUCUUCCAACCAGCGAAUCAAGAAAUCUUGGAGUGGAGAAUCAUUCUGAAAGUAGACCAAAUCCAGGACAACAUCACAGCAGUGGUCGGAAAAAUGCAGCAAGCCAAGCUGACUUUCAAAAGAUGAUUCGUUAUCUGUUUCUUCAGAGGGGAGGCAGUUUGGGAGAUGGGAAUUAGAAGGAUGCUACAGUUACACAGGGCGAAUUUCAGCAGCUCAGUUUCAAACUUGCAACUAACAAUGAAUUAUAUUAGAAGACCACGGAAAUAUUUGACAUCGGAGUCCAGCAGACAGCCAGAGACACGCACACACACGCAGCUGAAGCGCGUGACGCGUACGGGAGAUCCGGCACGCGCACGGGAGCUUGCGCACGCUCACACAAACACGGAGCACAGGAUAAUUACAACUGUUUAAUUAAAAAUAAAAGAACUUUGUUGUAUACAA